AGGGCCGCGGUAAUUUGACCGUGCGAAGGUAGCAUAAUCAUUAGUCUUUUAAUUGGAGGCUGGAAUGAAUGGUCGGAUGAGAGAUAUACUGUCUUUUUUUAUUGGUUGAAUUUUACUUUUAAGUGAAAAGGCUUAAAUAGAUUAGGGGGACGGUAAGACCCUAUAAAACUUUAUAUAAUAAAAAUAAAUUGUUAAAUUAAGUAUUAAAUUUAUUCAUUUUUUAUUAUAUUGCGUUGGGGCGACGAAGAUAAAAAUCUAACUGUUUAAAAAAUUUAAUAGAAAUAACUAGAUUAUGAUCCUUAUAUUGAGAUUAAAAGAUUAAGUUACUUUAGGGAUAACAGCGUAAUUUUCUUUGAGAGUUCUUAUCGACAAGAUUAGUUGCGACCUCGAUGUUGAAUUAAAGUGUUAGGUAGGUGUAGCAGUUUAUCUAGUGGGUCUGUUCGACCUUUAAAAUUUU
Molecule: ribosomal RNA, 457 nt
Filed under: Hamopontonia corallicola
Lineage: Eukaryota; Metazoa; Arthropoda; Malacostraca; Decapoda; Palaemonidae
Description: partial 16S ribosomal RNA
Rfam family: Bacterial large subunit ribosomal RNA
Source: RNAcentral